Molecule: ribosomal RNA, 402 nt
Filed under: Amblyomma marmoreum complex sp. INTA-2479
Lineage: Eukaryota; Metazoa; Arthropoda; Arachnida; Ixodida; Ixodidae
Description: partial large subunit ribosomal RNA
Source: RNAcentral
UAUACAAAGGUAUUGAAAUAAGACUUUAAUUGAGUGCUAAGAGAAUGGAUUUUCAGAAAAUUUCUUUUUUAAAAUUAAUAAUUUAAUUUAUUUUUGUUUGUGAAGAAGCAACAAUAAAAAUUUAGGACAAGAAGACCCUAAGAAUUUUUAAAAAAUAAUUUUAAAUUUAAAAUUAUUUUUUUUAAUUGGGGCGAUUAAUAAAUAUAACUAACUUUAUUUAAAAUAAAUAUGAACCAUUAUUAAUGGUUAAAUGAAUAAAAAUACUCUAGGGAUAACAGCGUAAUAAUUUUUGAUAGUUCUUAUAGACAAAAUAGUUUGCGACCUCGAUGUUGGAUUAGGAUUCUUAUUUAAUGAAGAAGUUAAAAAAAGAAGUUUGUUCAACUUUUAAAUUCCUACUUGAUC